AUAAUAUAUUUUAUUCAAUAGUAUUUUUCGUCGGGUCUACGUGUGAAUUUAAAAGUAUGCACUUUCAUCGUGAAAACUGUAGAAGUGUCGAAUGAAGCAAGAAAGACAACAAAAUAUUCACUGUGCGAUGAAAAGAGAGAGAAAUUUUUUUUGUUUUUAACUUCACAUGCCGUGAGCGUGAAACCGACUAGAAAGCUAAAGAAACCCGAAGAUAGAAAAAGGAAUUUUCUGUGGAUUACGGCUUUUUUUUCGUAAGUUUAGCAAAAACUUGCUCCCGAUAAACAUUUCACAUUUAAGCUUUGAAAAAUUCGAAACAUUGGAGAACUGAGAUGGUGCUUUCACCGGAGCUGGGAAUUGGAAAUGGAGGUGGAAUUUUCUAUCCAUCACCUUCGACAAACUUUGAAGACCAGGGAUUUCAGUCGCUUAGAUGGUGUUUUCGUCGGAGCAUGAAUGGGUAAACGGUCCUCCAACAUCGUUUGUCAGCAAUUCUCCGGUUCAUCAUAGUUCUUGAGAAAUGGCAUUUCGGAGAUGAUUUCCCAUGUUUCCAGAAAACAAUAUCUAUGGCGCCAAGUAAGGCGCAAUAUUUCCUACAAUACGUCCUUGAUGAGCGACGUUGAAAGUAGUUUUAGGAGCUGCUACGUAAUUGUACAUGCUGCAUAAAAUUAUGAAAUAAACAAAGCAAAA
This is a long non-coding RNA of Armigeres subalbatus, 684 nucleotides long. RefSeq lists it as uncharacterized. NCBI's taxonomy places the organism in Eukaryota, Metazoa, Arthropoda, Insecta, Diptera, Culicidae. The transcript has 3 exons. The record is from RefSeq and is a predicted model, not a curated record.